RNAcentral lists this transfer RNA (64 nucleotides) under Lagerstroemia langkawiensis. RNAcentral describes it as "partial tRNA-Leu". Lineage: Eukaryota; Viridiplantae; Streptophyta; Magnoliopsida; Myrtales; Lythraceae. The record is from RNAcentral.
CUACGGACUUAAGGAAAAUCCGUCGACUUUAGAAAUCGUGAGGGUUCAAGUCCCUCUAUCCCCA